Molecule: ribosomal RNA, 443 nt
Filed under: uncultured bacterium
Lineage: Bacteria
Description: partial 16S ribosomal RNA
Rfam family: Bacterial small subunit ribosomal RNA
Source: RNAcentral
CCUACGGGUGGCAGCAGUGGGGAAUAUUGGGCAAUGGGCGCAAGCCUGACCCAGCAACGCCGCGUGAAGGAAGAAGGCUUUCGGGUUGUAAACUUCUUUUCUGAGGGACGAAGAAAGUGACGGUACCUCAGGAAUAAGCCACGGCUAACUACGUGCCAGCAGCCGCGGUAAUACGUAGGUGGCAAGCGUUAUCCGGAUUUAUUGGGUGUAAAGGGCGUGUAGGCGGGAAAGCAAGUCAGAUGUGAAAACUCAGGGCUCAACCCUGAGCCUGCAUUUGAAACUGUUUUUCUUGAGUGCUGGAGAGGCAAUCGGAAUGCCGGGUGGAGGGGGGAAAUGCGUAGAUAUACGGAGGAAUACCAGGGGCGAAGGCGGAUUGCUGGACAGUAAAGGACGCUGAGGCGCGAAAGCGUGGGGAGCAAACAGGAUUAGAUACCCUUGUAGUC